AAAGCGCGAUAGGUAAUGCGAAUUGCAGAAUUCAGUGAAUCAUUAAAUCUUUGAACGCAUCUUGCACUCUUUGGUAUCCCGAAGAGUACGCCUCGUUGAGUGUCGGAAACCCACAUAGCCUCUGCGCUGAAAAUGAGUGUCUCGUUUGCUUUCGGGUGGAUGAGUCACUUUAAGUACAUAUGUAUAUGAAGAUCAGCUGCACUUCUGUGGACUGAUGAAGAUAAUUGACUUCUGUCAACUACCAUCUCAUCGGUCAUCGCAGUCGUAAAAACAGUUCGAAUUCUAUACCAAAUUACAGAACGUGAGUUUUACAACUUGUGUUCUUUUUAAACUUGACCUCAACUGAAGCGAGAGAACCCGCCGAAUUUAA
RNAcentral lists this unclassified non-coding RNA (370 nucleotides) under uncultured fungus. RNAcentral describes it as "sequence contains ITS1". The stretch from base 1 to 105 matches the Rfam family "5.8S ribosomal RNA", at positions 50 to 154 of the family's 154-position model. The record is from RNAcentral. Lineage: Eukaryota; Fungi.